This 440-nucleotide ribosomal RNA is filed under the name Lactobacillus kitasatonis. RNAcentral describes it as "bacterial SSU rRNA". It matches the Rfam family "Bacterial small subunit ribosomal RNA", at positions 579 to 1017 of the family's 1533-position model. The record is from RNAcentral. Lineage: Bacteria; Bacillati; Bacillota; Bacilli; Lactobacillales; Lactobacillaceae.
AAAAAUAAGUCUGAUGUGAAAGCCCUCGGCUUAACCGAGGAACUGCAUCGGAAACUGUUUUUCUUGAGUGCAGAAGAGGAGAGUGGAACUCCAUGUGUAGCGGUGGAAUGCGUAGAUAUAUGGAAGAACACCAGUGGCGAAGGCGGCUCUCUGGUCUGCAACUGACGCUGAGGCUCGAAAGCAUGGGUAGCGAACAGGAUUAGAUACCCUGGUAGUCCAUGCCGUAAACGAUGAGUGCUAAGUGUUGGGAGGUUUCCGCCUCUCAGUGCUGCAGCUAACGCAUUAAGCACUCCGCCUGGGGAGUACGACCGCAAGGUUGAAACUCAAAGGAAUUGACGGGGGCCCGCACAAGCGGUGGAGCAUGUGGUUUAAUUCGAAGCAACGCGAAGAACCUNNCCAGGUCUUGACAUCUAGUGCAAUCUGUAGAGAUACGGAGUCCC